UUUACUCUGUUCCUCUUCUAAAACAAAACCCUAAUCCUUGUCUCUGUCUCUCUCUCUGGCGAAUACGGCGAACAAUUGUUAUCAACAUUCAUCAAAUCCGAAUACCUUCAUCCACGCUACAUGACAGAGCGGAUUAGAGGAUACCUAUUAUCCAUGUGAAGCUAUCACGUGGUUACCUGCAAGGAAGGAACUUCAUUUCCCUGAUUUCUUUGAUGCUAUGUCAGCAAGCUAAAAGGCUUUCUCUUUAGCUGGUAAACAAUCCGAAUGGAGAUAUAUCUCUUGCAAUCCCCCUAUCCUUGAUCUACACUUUUUCAAGGGAAAAAUAUAUACGCUAUACACCAUGAGUCAGUUAUAUGAAUCCGUUUCAGCGUUCGUGAAAGAUAAGUUUAAUCUCUCUUUGAAUCAGUAUCAAUGACUCAGUGUUCAGAAGCGUAUGCGGUGUGUGGAAUCUUGUAUAGUUUUCAGGAGCCGACAGGUUCAAAACAUCCUAUUAUCAGUCUUUGGUCAUGGUAUAUGACUGAGGUGUUACUAAGAGUUGGGGAGAUUAUAGCUUCAAGAACAGGUGCGAAGAAGCUUUGACAGAGAAUGAAUUGGUUUACGGAGCUUAGUUUAUGGUUUUGAAACCAAACUAAGAUGGGCAUGUGUCUCUUGACAACAUCAUAAUGGCUCUCAUGUGUAAUGCUACAAAUGCCAUGGAGUAUAGGAUGGCACCCUCAUCUUAUAAGAAGACGGAUUUUGUUGCAGCAAUAAAAACAUAUCAAGUUGAAGCCCUUUAGACAUGGGUGCAAAUUAGUCCAACAUUGUUUGAUUACUUUAAACAGGAGGGUAGCUUCCCGGCUUCUGUUGAAAUACUCACUCGGGUGUCUGUGAGGAUGAUAUCUUUGCUGGUGUGCUACUGCAGUCUCCAUCUAUACAGGAUUGUGAUGAGAGAGACGUUCUACUGUUAUCCUUUCCCACAAAAAUACUAAGAUCAUGUUGGUAUCACAAUGGCAGAUCUUGGUCAACUCUGCCAUGGCAGCCUGCAUCAAGAUGGGAAGAAUAGAACUAGCAAGAUCUUGCUGAAAAUAGACUUUAUGCCGAUCACUGGCUGGAAUAUUACGCCACCAGAAGCUGUAAACUUAUAGGGAAGCAAUCGAGACUGUACCGAACUUGAAAAAUUAUUGGAUAUUUGACAUCUAAGAUGCUUAUAGAUAACCCUGAAAAAGCUUCUCUUUUGUAUUGGGAAGAAGACUAUGAUCUUCUUUUGAAAUAUGUGUUUGUGCUAAUAGCAAAACUAGGACGAAGUUGUGUUCUCGUGGGUCUGGUAAAUCACAUAUUCUUUUGUGACAUAGUUUGUAGAUUGAAGAACCUCUUGUGUAUAAGUAAUUCCAUCGAAAUAUGGAGGAAGUUAUCUAUAUACCGGUAUUAGAAAAAAAAACCAUUUUUUUGUUCUUUGUGGGAGGGGGUAUAUGAGAUCUUUUAUACUAUGUUUGAUUCAU
This 1478-nucleotide long non-coding RNA is filed under the name Helianthus annuus (common sunflower). The record is from RNAcentral. Lineage: Eukaryota; Viridiplantae; Streptophyta; Magnoliopsida; Asterales; Asteraceae.